GACGAACGCUGGCGGCGUGCUUAACACAUGCAAGUCGAGCGGAAAGGCCCUGCUUUUGUGGGGUGCUCGAGUGGCGAACGGGUGAGUAACACGUGAGUAACCUGCCCUUGACUUUGGGAUAACUUCAGGAAACUGGGGCUAAUACCGGAUAGGAGCUCCUGCUGCAUGGUGGGGGUUGGAAAGUUUCGGCGGUUGGGGAUGGACUCGCGGCUUAUCAGCUUGUUGGUGGGGUAGUGGCUUACCAAGGCUUUGACGGGUAGCCGGCCUGAGAGGGUGACCGGCCACAUUGGGACUGAGAUACGGCCCAGACUCCUACGGGAGGCAACAGUGGGGAAUAUUGCACAAUGGGCGGAAGCCUGAUGCAGCAACGCCGCGUGCGGGAUGACGGCCUUCGGGUUGUAAACCGCUUUCGCCUGUGACGAAGCGUGAGUGACGGUAAUGGGUAAAGAAGCACCGGCUAACUACGU
Molecule: ribosomal RNA, 467 nt
Filed under: uncultured bacterium
Lineage: Bacteria
Description: partial 16S ribosomal RNA
Rfam family: Bacterial small subunit ribosomal RNA
Source: RNAcentral